Molecule: ribosomal RNA, 318 nt
Filed under: uncultured Bacteroidota bacterium
Lineage: Bacteria; Pseudomonadati; Bacteroidota
Description: bacterial SSU rRNA
Rfam family: Bacterial small subunit ribosomal RNA
Source: RNAcentral
UACCAUAAAAAUAAGCACCGGCUAACUCCGUGCCAGCAGCCGCGGUAAUACGGAGGGUGCAAGCGUUAUCCGGAUUUAUUGGGUUUAAGGGUCCGUAGGCGGGCCGAUAAGUCAGUGGUGAAAGCCCAUAGCUCAACUAUGGAACUGCCAUUGAUACUGUCGGUCUUGAGUAUAUGUGAUGUUGGCGGAAUGUGUAGUGUACCGGUGAAAUGCUUAGAUAUUACACAGAACACCGAUUGCGAAGGCAGCUGACAAAUAUAUAACUGACGCUGAGGGACGAAAGUGUGGGGAUCAAACAGGAUUAGAUACCCUGGUAGU